This 343-nucleotide long non-coding RNA is filed under the name Nicotiana benthamiana. Its description in RNAcentral is "long non-coding RNA (NBEN_LNC012267)". The record is from RNAcentral. Lineage: Eukaryota; Viridiplantae; Streptophyta; Magnoliopsida; Solanales; Solanaceae.
GAAAAGAGAUCUUUGAUUCUUUGUACUCAAUUCUGGAAUAUCAUCCCAGUUGCUUGAUUUUUUACAGGAUUGUUUCACUCGACACACGUAAGCCACAAGACAAGACCAGGCUACAACUAGCAUUCAGCCCAAAAAGGUUCUGACAAGAUCAAGUGAGCCGUACUAUCACUAAGUCGAGAUGUAAGUUCUCUCCUCCAUUCUACAUGGCUAUAGGAGCAUGAACUUCAGGAGUUGUCUUUAAAUAAAUUCCGCAUCAGUAAUGUUAAGAGUUAUUGAGGACUUGGGGUCCAAACUUCAUCCAUUGAGCAAUGGAACUACGCGAGCUAUUUGGGGAAAAUACAUU